RNAcentral lists this ribosomal RNA (468 nucleotides) under uncultured bacterium. Its description in RNAcentral is "partial 16S ribosomal RNA". It matches the Rfam family "Bacterial small subunit ribosomal RNA", at positions 28 to 507 of the family's 1533-position model. The record is from RNAcentral.
GACGAACGCUGGCGGCGUGCUUAACACAUGCCAGUCGAACGGAAAGGCCCUGCUUUUGUGGGGUGCUCGAGUGGCGAACGGGUGAGUAACACGUGAGUAACCUGCCCUUGACUUUGGGAUAACUUCAGGAAACUGGGGCUAAUACCGGAUAGGAGCUCCUGCUGCAGGGUGGGGGUUGGAAAGUUUCGGCGGUUGGGGAUGGACUCGCGGCUUAUCAGCUUGUUGGUGGGGUAGUGGCUUACCAAGGCUUUGACGGGUAGCCGGCCUGAGAGGGUGACCGGCCACAUUGGGACUGAGAUACGGCCCAGACUCCUACGGGAGGCAGCAGUGGGGAAUAUUGCACAAUGGGCGGAAGCCUGAUGCAGCAACGCCGCGUGCGGGAUGACGGCCUUCGGGUUGUAAACCGCUUUCGCCUGUGACGAAGCGUGAGUGACGGUAAUGGGUAAAGAAGCGCCGGCUAACUACGUG